This 1989-nucleotide long non-coding RNA is filed under the name Bemisia tabaci. RNAcentral's name for it is "lncRNA ENSSSA1NGG001078". Lineage: Eukaryota; Metazoa; Arthropoda; Insecta; Hemiptera; Aleyrodidae. The record is from RNAcentral.
AGAAUCAUGCAUUCAUGGUAAACAAUGGAUUUGGUAAAGAUGGUCCAUAUUUCACUUAAUAAGGACCUCAGUAAUUUCUUCCUCUACAUUCUUAUGUCGAUGACUUAUUGCAGGUGGCUGUUUGCGAAGCUCCUACCAGAGUGAUAGCUAUUCACAGUCAAACGCAGACCAUUCCAAGCUGUCCAACCAAUUGGGAAGAGCUAUGGAUCGGGUAUAGUUUCAUUAUGCACACCGAUGCAAAUGCGGAGGGUGGUGGUCAGUCACUCGUUAGUCUGGAUCUUGCUUGGAGGAAUUCCGAGCAACGCCAUUCAUCGAAUGUCAUGGACACGGGAACUGCAAUUCCUUUACGUCAGCAUUCUCCUACUGGUUGUCAACAAUAGAUGACCGCGAAAUGUUCAGAAAACCGUCACAGCAAACGCUAAAGGCUGGAGCUCUUAAAACAAGAAUUAUCGAUGCGCUGUGUGUAUCAGAAGAACACGUCAUCGCCAAAGAAAGUUGAAGCGUUUACAUCCUCUUCUGCCAAUAAUAGACGUUUCGGUUGAGUAACUUAUUUCAUGUUUUCUGAUAUAUGAUGUAAAUAAUGUUGAUGCAUCGUUUAUUUAAUUUCUAUUAAAAACGACCAUGUUGGUGGAUGGAACAUAGCACCAUGUUGAAGUUAACAUGGUCUAAGCAUGUAACGAAUGCGAUACCAUGUUGAGAUCUGUAUGCCACCACGAUGAUAGGACCAACAGGGUAACGUCUAACAUAGGUUCCUACUGAGUGCAUGGUGGUUUCUUAGAUCAGGUCGAUUUCAUGUUGCUAAUAUUUUAACAACAUUUUACGCCGACACGGCCCGGAACGGGUUGUGUUUGUGAUACUUAAUAUGAUCUCAAACAUUACCCAGAUGUUCGUUUUUAGAGACCUAACUUAAGUAAUUCUGUGAAUGUAAGUAUAUUUUCAGUGCUGAGUUCAAAGAUACGUAUGCCUAUGUCAAUAUACUGAGCAGUUGAUGACUUCAUGGAAAUAAUAUUGCCAGCAUUUCCACAAUUUUUGCAUAAGUAUAUGCUUCAACAUGGCUUCACCCUACUAGCAACGGCUGUUAAAUUUGUAUUCAAAAACUUAAAAAACCGUUAAAAUUUACGAGAGGCAAACUUAGAGAAAAACAGUGUAAAAAACUCUUUAAAAACGCGAUCUUUUAAAACAAUUAUUUAAAUUAAUAAUGUAAAAAGAAGAGUAAAAAAUCAGUGUAUUAUUUUUAAGAGUUUUACUGAAAGAGUUUUCUGAGUGUUUUUUCCCCUUUUUUUAACAAUUAUUGUAUUUAAAUUUGAUCGCUCGUAAAUUUUACGUAAAAUAAUUCCAAAAACGUGAUCCCUAGUCCCACGUCAAUGUCCACGUGUCCCAAGUUAGUGAACACGUAAUGUUACUUAAGCUCACCAGACAAUGGACUUAUUGGCAAAAAGGGUGCUCUCUAAAAAUGUUCGAAACUUUUUUCGUGCCCAUCGUACAUGUGUAAAUAUUCUUGUGUAUAUAACUGUUCUCCAACCGAGCCUUGGGGUUUUAAAAAAAAUCAAAAAACCAGCAACAGUCUAGGCACCCACUGGAGGAAAAAAUCAGCCGCUGAAAACGCAACCGUGUUGAAAAGAUCAUGUUUUACAUGUUGAGAUCAUGUUGUUACCAACAUGGUCAGCGUUGGUACAACAUAGUCCGAACGUGGUAUUAUGUCGGUGAGUGAAAUAUUGCACCUUGUUGACGCUAACGUGGUACAACAUCACAUCAACUUGAUACCAGCAUGGUACCAAGUAGGUCCAACUUUGUCCCAUACAAUACCGGUAACUGUUGGACCCUUUGACUAAAUUGAUACCCAUGUGGGACGUAUUCAUAACAAAAUUAAUGCACCACGGGGACCGCGUAAGAAUAUUUCAAAUUAACAGGGCAAGUAUUUUACUCACAUGCUACACGUUAAUUAUUGUACCAUAAUGCUAUCAUGAUGCGUCAACAUCAUCAAUAUUA